UAAAGCCAAUGAUUAGAGG
RNAcentral lists this small nuclear RNA (19 nucleotides) under Arabidopsis thaliana (thale cress). RNAcentral's name for it is "snRNA_16853". Lineage: Eukaryota; Viridiplantae; Streptophyta; Magnoliopsida; Brassicales; Brassicaceae. The record is from RNAcentral.